UUUUACAGAUCAACACAUACUAGCAGAGAUGGUCUUCUGUGUGGAAAAAUCUGUGUGUUCCUCAUAAAUGCACAGUAGGGAUUUGCAUAUUAAAACAAGUCACUUCUGCCUGGUUUGCCUUGUGGGAGGGAGAGAGAUACCCCUGGACACGGGCUCUGAAAAAGGAGCCCUUGGGGCCUCUCCUGCCUCCACCAGCUACUCUUGGAGAGAAGAAACUGAAGGUGUCUCAGAAAUUCCUCAACCCUCGGAGACUAUGGCUGGAAAAUAGUAUCUAAAGCCCUGGACCGAGCAAUACUGCAGUCAGAUGGGCCCAACUGACUCCAAUGGGGCUUCAGGUGAGUGCAGGGAUCCCUGGUCCCCCUCUCAGUGCAGGAUUGGGCCACACAUGACAAGUAACAUACGAACAUACACGUCUUCUGUUACAAAUAAGCAACCACUUGGUAUCCUCAACUGCUCUACAACCUAGCCACCAUUAACUGGCUGAUUUCCUAUAGGCAUCUUACAGAUAUUUCUUACAGACUGCAUCCUGGGCAGAGGCUGGUCUUGAAAGAAGGAAGUAUAGUAGCCUGAUGGAUUAGUUUGGGGAUGUUUUUCCAUGCAUGUUAAAUAACCACAGACACCAAGGGACAAAUAAAUAGACCCUACAAAUAAUAAUAUUCCAGCCCAGUUAUCUCCAGUACCAGAGAUCUAUUGUACAAUGCAAGACUCUCCCUUUAUAGACAUUAUUAAAAUAUGGUAGUAAUAUAGUUAGAUCUGGCUGAGGUGCAUUGGAAGAGUAUGUGCUAGUCCCAGGCUGCAUUCAGGACUUAGAAAAGGAGUAAGUGUUUCCCAUUGCCCAAGUAUUUUUAAAAGGUGAACUGAAGAGUUUAAACAGAAUUGUUUAAGAAUCCUAACCGCUAGCAAAAUAUAUUUAGACUUAAAGAUUGCAAAUACGUACAUUUAAAAUAAAUAGGUCAGCCUCUCCUUCACCUACGUCUCUGAG
Molecule: long non-coding RNA, 982 nt
Organism: Trachemys scripta elegans
Lineage: Eukaryota; Metazoa; Chordata; Testudines; Emydidae
Exons: 3
Source: RefSeq, a predicted model, not a curated record